AGAGUUUGACCUUUGCUCAGGACGAACGCUGGCGGCGUGCUUAACACAUGCAAGUCGAACGGAAAGGCCCUUCGGGGUACUCGAGUGGCGAACGGGUGAGUAACACGUGGGUGAUCUGCCCUGCACUUUGGGAUAAGCCUGGGAAACUGGGUCUAAUACCGAAUAUGACCACGCUCUUCAUGGGGUGUGGUGGAAAGCUUUUGCGGUGUGGGAUGGGCCCGCGGCCUAUCAGCUUGUUGGUGGGGUAAUGGCCUACCAAGGCGACGACGGGUAGCCGGCCUGAGAGGGUGACCGGCCACACUGGGACUGAGAUACGGCCCAGACUCCUACGGGAGGCAGCAGUGGGGAAUAUUGCACAAUGGGCGCAAGCCUGAUGCAGCGACGCCGCGUGAGGGAUGACGGCCUUCGGGUUGUAAACCUCUUUCACCAGGGACGAAGCGCAAGUGACGGUACCUGGAGAAGAAGCACCGGCCAACUACGUGCCAGCAGCCGCGGUAAUACGUAGGGUGCGAGCGUUGUCCGGAAUUACUGGGCGUAAAGAGCUCGUAGGUGGCUUGUCGCGUCGCUCGUGAAAACUCACAGCUUAACUGUGGGCGUGCGGGCGAUACGGGCAGACUAGAGUACUGCAGGGGAGACUGGAAUUCCUGGUGUAGCGGUGGAAUGCGCAGAUAUCAGGAGGAACACCGGUGGCGAAGGCGGGUCUCUGAGCAGUAACUGACGCUGAGGAGCGAAAGCGUGGGGAGCGAACAGGAUUAGAUACCCUGGUAGUCCACGCCGUAAACGCCCCCUAUGGGUGUGGUUCCUUCCUUGGGAUCCGUGCCGUAGCUAACGCAUUAAGUACCCCGCCUGGGGAGUACGGCCGCAAGGCUAAAACUCAAAGGAAUUGACGGGGGCCCGCACAAGCGGCGGAGCAUGUGGAUUAAUUCGAUGCAACGCGAAGAACCUUACCUGGGUUUGACAUGCACAGGACGCUGGUAGAGAUAUCAGUUCCCUUGUGGCCUGUGUGCAGGUGGUGCAUGGCUGUCGUCAGCUCGUGUCGUGAGAUGUUGGGUUAAGUCCCGCAACGAGCGCAACCCCUAUCUUAUGUUGCCAGCGCGUUAUGGCGGGGACUCGUAAGAGACUGCCGGGGUCAACUCGGAGGAAGGUGGGGAGGACGUCAAGUCAUCAUGCCCCUUAUGUCCAGGGCUUCACACAUGCUACAAUGGCCGGUACAAAGGGCUGCGAAUCCGCGAGGUGGAGCGAAUCCCUUGAAAGCCGGUCUCAGUUCGGAUCGGGGUGUGCAACUCGACCCCGCGAAGUUGGAGUCGCUAGUAAUCGCAGAU
This 1322-nucleotide ribosomal RNA is filed under the name uncultured bacterium. Its description in RNAcentral is "bacterial SSU rRNA". It matches the Rfam family "Bacterial small subunit ribosomal RNA", at positions 8 to 1349 of the family's 1533-position model. The record is from RNAcentral.